GACGAACGCUGGCGGCGUGCUUAACACAUGCAAGUCGAACGGGCCUUGUCCCCUUUUUUUUUGGGGGUGGGGUUAGUGGCGAACGGGUGAGUAACGCGUGAGUAACCUGCCCCUCACUUCUGGAUAACCGCUUGAAAGGGUGGCUAAUACGGGGUGUUCUGGCCUGCUCGCAUGGGUGGGUUUGGAAAGAUUCGACCGGUUUUGGUUGUUUUGGUGGGGGAUGGGCUCGCGGCCUAUCAGCUUGUUGGUGGGGUGAUGGCCUGCCAAGGCUUUGACGGGUAGCCGGCCUGAGAGGGUGGGCGGUCACACUGGGACUGAGACACGGCCCAGACUCCUACGGGAGGCAGCAGUGGGGAAUAUUGCACAAUGGGCGCAAGCCUGAUGCAGCGACGCCGCGUGAGGGAUGGAGGCCUUCGGGUUGUGAACCUCUUUCGCCAGUGAAGAAGGUCCUGCUCUUUGUGGUGGGGUUGACGGUAGCUGGGUUAAUGAAGCGCCGGCUAACUACGUG
RNAcentral lists this ribosomal RNA (508 nucleotides) under uncultured bacterium. RNAcentral's name for it is "partial 16S ribosomal RNA". It matches the Rfam family "Bacterial small subunit ribosomal RNA", at positions 28 to 507 of the family's 1533-position model. The record is from RNAcentral.